RNAcentral lists this ribosomal RNA (456 nucleotides) under uncultured bacterium. RNAcentral describes it as "bacterial SSU rRNA". It matches the Rfam family "Bacterial small subunit ribosomal RNA", at positions 925 to 1382 of the family's 1533-position model. The record is from RNAcentral.
ACAAGCAGUGGAGUAUGUGGUUUAAUUCGAAGCAACGCGAAGAACCUUACCAGGGCUUGACAUCCCUUGAAGCAGCUAGAGAUAGCUGUGUCCUUCGGGACAAGGAGACAGGUGGUGCAUGGUUGUCGUCAGCCCGUGUCGUGAGAUGUUGGGUUAAGUCCCGCAACGAGCGCAACCCCUGUGGUUAGUUGCCAGCAAGUAGCGUUGGGCACUCUAGCCAGACUGCCGGUGAUAAAUCGGAGGAAGGUGGGGACGACGUCAAAUCAUCAUGCCCUUUAUGUCCUGGGCUACACACGUACUACAAUGGCCGUUACAACGGGAAGCGAAGGAGCAAUCCGGAGCAAAUCCCUUAAAGGCGGUCCCAGUUCAGAUUGUGGGCUGAAACUCGCCCACAUGAAGGCGGAAUUGCUAGUAAUUGCAGAUCAGCAUGCUGCAGUGAAUACGUUCCCGGGCCUU